ACGGGAGGCAGCAGUGGGGAAUAUUGGACAAUGGGCGCAAGCCUGAUCCAGCGACGCCGCGUGAGUGAAGAAGUAUUUCGGUAUGUAAAGCUCUAUCAGCAGGGAAGAUAAUGACGGUACCUGACUAAGAAGCCCCGGCUAACUACGUGCCAGCAGCCGCGGUAAUACGGAGGAUGCGAGCGUUAUCCGGAUUUAUUGGGUUUAAAGGGUGCGUAGGCUGUGCUGCAAGUCAGGGGUGAAAGCCCAGUGCCUAACACUGGAACUGCCUUUGAUACUGCAGCGCUGGAAUACGGAUGCCGUGGGAGGAAUGAGUAGUGUAGCGGUGAAAUGCAUAGAUAUUACUCAGAACACCGAUUGCGAAGGCAUCUCACGAAUCCGUCAUUGACGCUGAGGCACGAAAGCGUGGGGAUCAAACAGGAUUAGAUACCCUGGUA
Molecule: ribosomal RNA, 434 nt
Filed under: uncultured Lachnospiraceae bacterium
Lineage: Bacteria; Bacillati; Bacillota; Clostridia; Lachnospirales; Lachnospiraceae
Description: partial 16S ribosomal RNA
Rfam family: Bacterial small subunit ribosomal RNA
Source: RNAcentral